AUCCAGCUGACGAGUCCCAAAUAAGACGAAACCGGAGUCCUGGAU
This 45-nucleotide non-coding RNA is filed under the name Schistosoma haematobium. The record is from RNAcentral. Lineage: Eukaryota; Metazoa; Platyhelminthes; Trematoda; Strigeidida; Schistosomatidae.